Molecule: ribosomal RNA, 503 nt
Filed under: uncultured bacterium
Lineage: Bacteria
Description: partial 16S ribosomal RNA
Rfam family: Bacterial small subunit ribosomal RNA
Source: RNAcentral
AUUGAACGCUGGCGGCAGGCUUAACACAUGCAAGUCGAGCGGGGUGAUGGUGCUUGCACUAUCACUUAGCGGCGGACGGGUGAGUAAUGCUUAGGAAUCUGCCUAUUAGUGGGGGACAACAUCCCGAAAGGGAUGCUAAUACCGCAUACGUCCUACGGGAGAAAGCAGGGGAUCACUUGUGACCUUGCGCUAAUAGAUGAGCCUAAGUCGGAGUAGCUAGUUGGUGGGGUAAAGGCCUACCAGGGCGACGAUGUGUAGCGGGUCUGAGAGGAUGAUCCGCCACACUGGGACUGAGACACGGCCCAGACUCCUACGGGAGGCAGCAGUGGGGAAUAUUGGACAAUGGGGGGAACCCUGAUCCAGCCAUGCCGCGUGUGUGAAGAAGGCCUUAUGGUUGUAAAGCACUUUAAGCGAGGAGGAGGCUCUUUUGGUUAAUACCCAAGAUGAGUGGACGUUACUCGCAGAAUAAGCACCGGCUAACUCUGUGCCAGCCGCCGCCGUAA